UCUGUUAAAGGUGGUGUAGUCAGGAUCUGAGUUAGUUCCAGUUUUUAGGAGAAAUCUUGAAUGUAAACUCUACCCCUCCCAACCAGUUUUCCCCUCAGCUCCUCCUCUCCCCUCCCUCUCUUAAGCCCCGCCCACAAACAGACGCUCCUGCUCGCUCGUAUCGUUCCAAUUAAAUUCAGAUAUAAUGCAGAUAAAUACUUCAGAUCAUUACAAAUGGGGCCCAGUCAAGGUGAAAGUCAAAAGCAUUGGUGCUACUGUAGAUGCCAACAGACUACCAGCAAACACAAUGUUUGCAGGACUUCUACAACGAGGAUAAAGUGACAUAGUCCAGGACCCGAGGGAGGACAGUUUAGCGAUGGCGCUACAACACGCUACAGCAGGUCCGUUUGACAAGAAACACUUCUGUUACAGACACUUGUCUUACUUUGUUAAAGCGGUUUACCUGUCCAGCAGAAAGGUUACAGGGUCACCAAGAUCCCCAAGCGUCCCCCAUCGUUUAUGUUGACCCGGCUCUUUAGCUCUUGUCCGGUCUACCUCCGUUUUAAGCGCCCGUUAUUCCUCCAGAGUCUCCGGUAUUUACUUUGUUUUCUUGCUUGUGUUUUCCGUACUCUCUGGUUGGUUUCUAAGUUCAGUACUGCC
Molecule: long non-coding RNA, 639 nt
Filed under: Xyrichtys novacula (pearly razorfish)
Lineage: Eukaryota; Metazoa; Chordata; Actinopteri; Labriformes; Labridae
Source: RNAcentral